GAUGAACGCUGACAGAAUGCUUAACACAUGCAAGUCUACUUGAACUUCGGUUUGGGUGGCGGACGGGUGAGUAACGCGUACAGAACUUGCCUCACAGAUAGGACAACAUUUGGAAACGAAUGCUUAUACCUGAUAUUAUGAUUUUAGGGCAUCCUAGAAUUAUGAAAGCUAUAUGCACUGUGAGAGAGCUUUGCGUCCCAUUAGCUAGUUGGAGAGGUAACGGCUCACCAAGGCGAUGAUGGGUAGCCGGCCUGAGAGGGUGAUCGGCCACAAGGGGACUGAGACACGGCCCUUACUCCUACGGGAGGCAGCAGUGGGGAAUAUUGGACAAUGGACCAAGAGUCUGAUCCAGCAAUUCUGUGUGCACGAUGAAGUUUUUCGGAAUGUAAAGUGCUUUCAGUUGGGAAGAAAAAAAUGACGGUACCAACAGAAGAAGUGACGGCUAAAUACGUG
Molecule: ribosomal RNA, 453 nt
Filed under: uncultured bacterium
Lineage: Bacteria
Description: partial 16S ribosomal RNA
Rfam family: Bacterial small subunit ribosomal RNA
Source: RNAcentral